This 1620-nucleotide ribosomal RNA is filed under the name Escherichia coli. RNAcentral's name for it is "bacterial LSU rRNA". It matches the Rfam family "Bacterial large subunit ribosomal RNA", at positions 1327 to 2925 of the family's 2925-position model. Lineage: Bacteria; Pseudomonadati; Pseudomonadota; Gammaproteobacteria; Enterobacterales; Enterobacteriaceae. The record is from RNAcentral.
AGCCCGCUCGCCGGAAGACCAAGGGUUCCUGUCCAACGUUAAUCGGGGCAGGGUGAGUCGACCCCUAAGGCGAGGCCGAAAGGCGUAGUCGAUGGGAAACAGGUUAAUAUUCCUGUACUUGGUGUUACUGCGAAGGGGGGACGGAGAAGGCUAUGUUGGCCGGGCGACGGUUGUCCCGGUUUAAGCGUGUAGGCUGGUUUUCCAGGCAAAUCCGGAAAACCAAGGCUGAGGCGUGAUGACGAGGCACUACGGUGCUGAAGCGACAAAUGCCCUGCUUCCAGGAAAAGCCUCUAAGCAUCAGGUAACAUCAAAUCGUACCCCAAACCGACACAGGUGGUCAGGUAGAGAAUACCAAGGCGCUUGAGAGAACUCGGGUGAAGGAACUAGGCAAAAUGGUGCCGUAACUUCGGGAGAAGGCACGCUGAUAUGUAGGUGAAGCGACUUGCUCGUGGAGCUGAAAUCAGUCGAAGAUACCAGCUGGCUGCAACUGUUUAUUAAAAACACAGCACUGUGCAAACACGAAAGUGGACGUAUACGGUGUGACGCCUGCCCGGUGCCGGAAGGUUAAUUGAUGGGGUUAGCGGUAACGCGAAGCUCUUGAUCGAAGCCCCGGUAAACGGCGGCCGUAACUAUAACGGUCCUAAGGUAGCGAAAUUCCUUGUCGGGUAAGUUCCGACCUGCACGAAUGGCGUAAUGAUGGCCAGGCUGUCUCCACCCGAGACUCAGUGAAAUUGAACUCGCUGUGAAGAUGCAGUGUACCCGCGGCAAGACGGAAAGACCCCGUGAACCUUUACUAUAGCUUGACACUGAACAUUGAGCCUUGAUGUGUAGGAUAGGUGGGAGGCUUUGAAGUGUGGACGCCAGUCUGCAUGGAGCCGACCUUGAAAUACCACCCUUUAAUGUUUGAUGUUCUAACGUUGGCCCGUAAUCCGGGUUGCGGACAGUGUCUGGUGGGUAGUUUGACUGGGGCGGUCUCCUCCUAAAGAGUAACGGAGGAGCACGAAGGUUGGCUAAUCCUGGUCGGACAUCAGGAGGUUAGUGCAAUGGCAUAAGCCAGCUUGACUGCGAGCGUGACGGCGCGAGCAGGUGCGAAAGCAGGUCAUAGUGAUCCGGUGGUUCUGAAUGGAAGGGCCAUCGCUCAACGGAUAAAAGGUACUCCGGGGAUAACAGGCUGAUACCGCCCAAGAGUUCAUAUCGACGGCGGUGUUUGGCACCUCGAUGUCGGCUCAUCACAUCCUGGGGCUGAAGUAGGUCCCAAGGGUAUGGCUGUUCGCCAUUUAAAGUGGUACGCGAGCUGGGUUUAGAACGUCGUGAGACAGUUCGGUCCCUAUCUGCCGUGGGCGCUGGAGAACUGAGGGGGGCUGCUCCUAGUACGAGAGGACCGGAGUGGACGCAUCACUGGUGUUCGGGUUGUCAUGCCAAUGGCACUGCCCGGUAGCUAAAUGCGGAAGAGAUAAGUGCUGAAAGCAUCUAAGCACGAAACUUGCCCCGAGAUGAGUUCUCCCUGACUCCUUGAGGGUCCUGAAGGAACGUUGAAGACGACGACGUUGAUAGGCCGGGUGUGUAAGCGCAGCGAUGCGUUGAGCUAACCGGUACUAAUGAACCGUGAGGCUUAACCUU